This is a small nuclear RNA of Nannospalax galili (Upper Galilee mountains blind mole rat), 102 nucleotides long. Lineage: Eukaryota; Metazoa; Chordata; Mammalia; Rodentia; Spalacidae. The record is from Ensembl.
UUGCUUUGGGAGCACAUAUACUAAACUAGAGCAACACGGAGAAGAUUAGCACGGCCUCUGCACAAGGAUGACACGCAAAUUCGUGAUGUGUUCUAUAUUUAA